RNAcentral lists this long non-coding RNA (2058 nucleotides) under Macaca fascicularis (crab-eating macaque). RNAcentral describes it as "lncRNA (ENSMFAG00000062979.1)". Lineage: Eukaryota; Metazoa; Chordata; Mammalia; Primates; Cercopithecidae. The record is from RNAcentral.
UAUCCCUGAGAUAGUGCAGGCCCAUGCCCUGGCAUCACACUGUCUCCAGCAAGUUGAGGUUUGCAGGGACAAACAGGAGAGCUGGUGACCAGACCUGCUGUCCCAAGUGAGGACAGUGUGUCACCCACCCUCUGAGAGGCAGGCAGUGCCAGGACCCAGCCAUGGGAGCCCGUCCCCCUGACUCUGUAGAGAGCGGUCAUGGGGCCCUCCCUCCCCAUGUCAUCUCCUUGCCACUCCUGUAUCCCUGCCCGUCUUGAAGCAUCUUGAGUCAUUUCUCUGUGUCUCUCAUCUCCCGACGUCUUUGCUGUCAACUAUGAUGACAAGAAGUUAGCGGAGCUGCCAAGGCUUCCUGGAGCAGCCUUUGGACGCUGUAUCCUGGGCUCCGAGGUCCUGACAGGACUGAACCACAAAAAGAACCAGGAAAGGGCAGGCUCCAGGGACUGAGACCUUCUGACUGAACAGGCAUCCGUGACCUGGCCUCAUGACCUGGGACAUGCCAUCCUCAGGCCACAGACACCGGACUUUGGUCAAGUACCAGCCUCCAGGUGGGCUCCUAGUGCAAGCAGGCAGCAACCCCCAAGCUGUGACUGCAGUUCUCAGUUUGGAGUUUGGUCAAACCACCAUGGGGACAGAGUCUUGCGGUCGGGUCCAGCAGGAACUGCCGCCCCUCCUAGGGACAGCCUGUCUUUCCCACUCACCACCGCCGGUGCACGUGGGCUGCUGACCACCCGCCCAGUCCUCCUGUCCCUGGACCAGCCUCUCAGGUAGCAGGUCUUACCUUUGCCUCCAGGGCACUGAUGGAUGGCAGCUUAGUCUCACCGUAAGGCAACCCAGGCAGAGCCGAAGACCUGCGCUGGGCUGGGAGCUGUCCUCCUUCUCCCCUAGUGGUCCUAGGGAAGGACCAACCAUGUCUCUCCCCGCCACACCCCUGGUCUCAGCCCAGGAGACACACAGGGAAGGUAGGAAGAGAGUCUCCCUGUGGGCUGAUGCCUGUGAAGGGACAGGAACUGGGAGAAGAGGGGUGUGUGGCGGGCAGGGACCACUAGGGUCCUGUAGAGCAUGGGCUUGGACUACACAACGGGGCUGCCCCUCCUAGGCUGGAGGCAGUGCUCUCUGCAGGAACUGAGAAUGUCCAGGCCUGAGAAAGGACAUGUACGGCCCAGGGUGGGUGACUGGGUCCCAACAGCAGUCCCUGAGGGAGUGACCACAUUACCAGGCCAGGAUCCCGAGACCUGCCCAGUGCACUGAGUGUGCACCUGGGGCCUGUCCCACCUGAUGUCCCCAAGUGCCCCACAGGGUCUGAUCUCCCAGCCUCCAUCUACCUCCCCUGGGGGGUGGGGGCUUGCUUUGAGUUGUCCGCACCUUUCUAAAUGGAACUAAUGUACUUCUUACAUAUAUUGACUGAUGUCUCAUGUCUCCUUAAAAUGUAUAAAAGAAAGCUGUGGGCCGGGCAUGGUGGCUCACACCUGUAAUCCCAGCACUUUGGGAGGCCAAGGCAGGUGGAUCAUGAGGUCAGGUGUUCGAGACCAGCCUGGCCAACAUAGUGAAACCCCAUCUCUACUAAAAGUACAAAAAAUCGGCCAUGUGCGGUGGCUCACACAUGUAAUCGCAGCACUCUGGGAGGCCGAGGCAGGCGGAUCAUGAGGUCAGGAGAUCAAGACCAUCUUAGCUAACACAGUGAAACCCCAUCUCUACUAAAAAAUACAAAAAAUUAGCCUGGUGUGGUGGCGGGUGCUUGUAGUCCCAGCUACCCAGGAGGCUGAGGCAGGAGAAUGGCGUGAACCCGGGAGGUGGAGCUUGCAGUGAGCCGAGAUCGCACCACUGCACUCCAGCCUGGGCGACAGAGCAAGACUCCGUCUCAAAAAAAAAAAAAAUACAAAAAAUUAUUUGAUUAUCUGGGCGUGGUGGCAGGCGCCUGUAAUCCCAGCUUCUCAGGAGGCUGAGGCAGGAGUAUUACUUGGACCCGGGAGGCAGAGGUUGCAGUGAGCUGAGAUUGUACCGCUGUACUCCAGCCUAGAUGACGGUGAGAGACUCCGUCUCAAAAAAAAAAAAAAAAAA